This 2271-nucleotide ribosomal RNA is filed under the name Triticum aestivum (bread wheat). Its description in RNAcentral is "partial small subunit ribosomal RNA". The record is from RNAcentral. Lineage: Eukaryota; Viridiplantae; Streptophyta; Magnoliopsida; Poales; Poaceae.
AUGAACCCGCUGGUGGACGAGUUCUUGGGAGGAAAGAGCGGCCUUCUGGUGGCGAUGGGUCCGACGGGGUCCGGCAAGACGCACACCGUCUUUGGUACUGCAAGAAAUCCCGGCCUAGUACCGCUCACUCUACAGAAGAUCUUCACUGCGGCAGAUGAAUCCGAAGGUGGCAACCAAUCGCCAAGAUCGUUUUACUUGUCAAUGUUCGAGAUACUCUGUGAAGGAAAAGGAGAACGGAUUCUCGAUCUUCUGUCUGAUGCAGCAGAACUGGUCCUCCAGCAGUCAGCAACAAUUAAAGGCCUUAAAGAGGUGGCCGUUUCAAGUGCCAUGGAUGCUGAGAGUUUUGUUUCACGUGGCAUGCUUAAGCGUAGCACAGCUGCAACUGAUGCUAACAGCGAGUCAAGCCGGUCACAGUGCAUCAUCACUAUACGUGCUGUUCAUAAACCCGUUGACCAAAAAAGUGAGCACCCGACUAGUGGAUCUGUCCUGACCAUUGCUGACCUUGCUGGAGCAGAGCGAAAAAAGAAUACUGGAAAUAAGGGUUCAAGGUUGUUGGAGAGUAACUUUAUCAACAAUACGUCCAUGGUUUUUGGUCUAUGUCUGAGGGCUUUGUUAGAUCACCAGAAAAAUCAGAAGAAAACCUUGGAGAAACAUUUUAAGAACUCAAUGUUGACGAGGUACUUGAAAGACUACCUGGAAGGAAGGAAGAAGAUGACUCUGAUUUUGAACGUGAAACCAGGAGAAGAUGACUAUGCUGAUACAUCAUAUUUGCUCAGACAAGCAUCUCCUUACAUGAAAAUAAGGUACACCAGCCUUGAUGAAUCUUCUGACUUGGUUUCCCAAAAGAGAACCAAUGUUUCCCUGGUUUGCCAAGAGAACAAGAAAAGGAGGAAGGUUAACAAGCCCGAACCUGAAGUUGUUACGGCUGAAGAAAAGGAGCUGCAAAGAGUGUCUCGAAGUGAACAAGUCAUGAAGAACCUUUUCAACGCUUUAUGGACUGUUUCAAAACAAAAGAUUUCAGAGUCCGAGGUUGCUGCUAAAAGCAUGCGAGAAUUGCUCAAAGAUAAAGACAUUGAAAUUCUAGAGCUGAAAAAGGAGUUGGAUGACCUGAAGUCUCGUUGUUCACACGUUAAGCAAAAUGAUGCUGCAUCAAUUGCUAUAAGCUCGGUUUCUCAAACUGACCUGGCCAGUGAUGCUGCAUUAGACAAUGUCCAUCUGAGCACUGAGUUGGUACAAAAGAUCUCAGAAGAAUCUACAUAUUCUGAUCCAGAAAUGUCUUCAGCUUAUUGCGAUAUGACAGAGAAAUCCGUCGACUGUGAUACCUCUGUUGCUAAUUUGAUAGAUGAACACGAGUUGAGCUCCAGAUAUUUGAAGAAAGAGGAAUCAUGCACUCCUGAUGUUACUGAACCCAAGUGCGAUCUGAAAAAGGAAAAUACUGAGAUAAUGGGACAAGUGGGCAACAAGGAAUCUGAUGGUUCUGAGAGUUGUUCUGAGCAAACAUCUGCACCUGACGGCGGUGUAACACAUGCACCCAGUCAUUUGGAUGAUCCAUCUGAGCUAAGCUAUACAGAACUUCAUAUAGUUCCCUGUAAUCUGUCCGCACAGUUUACUGAUAUACAAGUUAGCGAGAAAGCUCCCAUGGAACAAAGUGAAGAAGAGGAGUUAAGCAGCAAUACAGAAGUGGAGAGUAUUCAACAUGUCGUCGACAUAAAAGAAAUGAAGCAGCAUGAUUAUGAAAGUUCAUCUCAGCAACCGAACUUUGGCGCUGGAGACGUUAGCUCCAAUCAGCCUUUGUUAGAGUUGCAAGGCAUGGAGAAUCCUGAUGAACUGGUGCCUGAGCCAGAAAUUUGUGAGCCCACGGUAAAGGAGGCUGCUGCAGAACACGCACAUGGCCGACAUGUACCGGAUGAAGGGCUUCCCCAGACGAAGGCUUCAAUAGCUCCAACCAAGGACUGCCAGGCAGAAGGAACCACAGAUGACCAAAAAGAGAACCUUUGCCAGGAAGAAGCAAAUGAGGACCUUUGCGCUUCGAAGCCUCGUGAAAACACAAAGAAGCCGUCAAGGAGGAGGCUGCUGCCAGUGUCGGCCAUGAUGCUCAAGGAGUUCACCGGCCCUGCCAUCGAUGCUGCGGAUACCAAGAGGGCCACGGAUGGAGGAGGAGGCGCCAAGGCAUCGUCAGGCGAGCAGUCGGCGACGGCUGCUGGGCGAUCGGACACGCUCAUCCGGCUCCUCAAAGCAAAAGCGCCGCCCAUGAGGCAUCGCUGGGGCUAG